GAUGAAGAACGCAGCGAAAUGCGAUAAGUAAUGCGAAUUGCAGAAUUUCCGUGAGUCAUCGAAUCUUUGAACGCACAUUGCGCCCAUUGGUAUUCCGAUGGGCAUGCCUGUUCGAGCGUCAUUAUCCUCCCUCAAACCUCGUGUUUGGUGUUGGGUCUGGGCGGGUCGCGCUUUCGGGCGCGAACCCCGCCCGACCCCAAAGGCAAUGGCGGCGUCCGUGGGACCCUCUGGUGCAACGAGCUUCUUCGGAGCACGCACCGUUGGCGUCCUUCCGGGCCGGUCUUCGCGUUUCUCACGAAACGCAACUUUUUUUACAAGGUUGACCUCGGAUCAGGUAGGAAUACCCGCUGAACUUAAGCAUAUCAAUAAGCGGAGGA
This 377-nucleotide unclassified non-coding RNA is filed under the name soil metagenome. RNAcentral describes it as "partial contains 5.8S ribosomal RNA, internal transcribed spacer 2, and large subunit ribosomal RNA". The stretch from base 1 to 121 matches the Rfam family "5.8S ribosomal RNA", at positions 35 to 154 of the family's 154-position model. The record is from RNAcentral.